GGAUGUGAGAGUGAUCUGACUGCAACAUCUGUCACCCAAUUAAUUGACAGGGUUUAUUUGGCUGUUCUAACUGGCUAGGAGGAUGCCCCCAUCCUCGCUUACUGCUCCAUGUGUGUACUUUCUGAAGUUGUGCACUACUAGAUUGAAAAGAAUGACCUUUCCUCAACAGAGGAGGGCCAAUCUUUGGUCAAAGGUAUAUUAGUAGCUACACUCCACUUCUAGAACCUCCAAACAAACUCAAAGAUCACCUUGAACUUCUGAUGUUCCUGCUUCCGUGCCACGACUUCUGGAGUUAUAAGCAUGCACCAUCACACCCAGUGAUGGAGAU
RNAcentral lists this small RNA (328 nucleotides) under Jaculus jaculus (lesser Egyptian jerboa). RNAcentral describes it as "7SK RNA (ENSJJAG00000001528.1)". It matches the Rfam family "7SK RNA", at positions 1 to 257 of the family's 331-position model. From Rfam's summary of the family: 7SK was discovered as an abundant small nuclear RNA in the mid-70s but a possible function has only recently been suggested. Two independent studies have found that 7SK RNA binds the CDK9/cyclin T complex (known as elongation factor P-TEFb). The record is from RNAcentral. Lineage: Eukaryota; Metazoa; Chordata; Mammalia; Rodentia; Dipodidae.